Molecule: ribosomal RNA, 253 nt
Filed under: uncultured bacterium
Lineage: Bacteria
Description: partial 16S ribosomal RNA
Rfam family: Bacterial small subunit ribosomal RNA
Source: RNAcentral
UACGUAGGGUGCAAGCGUUGUCCGGAAUUAUUGGGCGUAAAGAGCUCGUAGGCGGUCUGUUACGUCGGCUGUGAAAACCCGAGGCUCAACCUCGGGCCUGCAGCCGAUACGGGCAGACUAGAGUUCGGCAGGGGAGACUGGAAUUCCUGGUGUAGCGGUGAAAUGCGCAGAUAUCAGGAGGAACACCGGUGGCGAAGGCGGGUCUCUGGGCCGAUACUGACGCUGAGGAGCGAAAGCGUGGGGAGCGAACAGG